Molecule: long non-coding RNA, 376 nt
Filed under: Salmo salar (Atlantic salmon)
Lineage: Eukaryota; Metazoa; Chordata; Actinopteri; Salmoniformes; Salmonidae
Description: lncRNA (ENSSSAG00000090547.1, ENSSSAG00020054125.1, ENSSSAG00075027784.1)
Source: RNAcentral
GUGCUGUGAAGGAAAUCAUCCACAUCUUUACUGUCACUUCUCAUUAGCAGAGUAGUCAGGUAAAUGAGUCCAUCCACAUCUUUACUGUCACUUCUCAUUAGCAGAGUAGUCAGAUAAAUGAGUCCAUCCACAUCUUUACUGUCACUUCUCAUUAGCAGAGUAGUCAGAUAAAUGAGUCCAUCCACAUCUUUACUGUCACUUCUCAUUAGCAGAGUAGUCAGGUAAAUGAGUCCAUCCACAUCUUUACUGUCACUUCUCAUUAGCAGAGUAGUCAGUAAAAGAGUCCAUCCACCAUAGCAGUGGUGCAUCUUACUACACAAGUAGCCUGGAACUGCUAAUCCUGAGAUGGUUUCUGAUGUCCAUGCUUUCCGCCCCU